UGGGGAAUAUUGGACAAUGGGCGCAAGCCUGAUCCAGCAAUGCCGCGUGUGUGAAGAAGGCCUUCGGGUUGUAAAGCACUUUUAUCAGGAGCGAAACGCUGUCGGCUAAUACCCGGCGGAACUGGCGGUACCUGAGGAAUAAGCACCGGCUAACUUCGUGCCAGCAGCCGCGGUAAUACGAAGGGUGCAAGCGUUAAUCGGAAUUACUGGGCGUAAAGCGUGCGCAGGCGGUUUCUUAAGUCUGCUGUGAAAUCCCCGGGCUCAACCUGGGAAUGGCAGUGGAUACUGGGAGGCUAGAGUGUGUCAGAGGGUGGUGGAAUUCCCGGUGUAGCGGUGAAAUGCGUAGAGAUCGGGAGGAACAUCAGUGGCGAAGGCGGCCACCUGGGACAACACUGACGCUGAGGCACGAAAGCGUGGGGAGCAAACAGGAUUAGAUACCCUGGUAGUCCACGCCCUAAAGCGAUGCGAACUGGAUGUUGGUCUCAACUCGGAGAUCAGUGUCGAAGCUAACGCGUUAAGUUCGCCGCCUGGGGAGUACGGUCGCAAGACU
This 550-nucleotide ribosomal RNA is filed under the name uncultured bacterium. Its description in RNAcentral is "partial 16S ribosomal RNA". It matches the Rfam family "Bacterial small subunit ribosomal RNA", at positions 355 to 895 of the family's 1533-position model. The record is from RNAcentral.